CAACUUACACUGGGACUUGUAUGGUGGAUGGUCCUUAUAAUAAUACUAAACGAAUUUAUCAUUUAACAAGAAAAAAACUAAUGGUUGAUAUGGUGAUGCUUUCUCUUCACCCUGUUUGCACGGUUUCCCAAAGCAGUAUACAUUUCCCUUCAGUUGGUUUGUGGGCUUCUGGAUGUUUUUGCCUCUCUUCUCUGGACUUAGCGAGAGAAAAAAAAUGCAGGACGUCUUUGGGAUCCUGUUGAUGUUCACAGGAGCUGCAUCAGGUUUGCUGUUUCAGGAUCCUGUUGUCUGUAGAUUUAAUGAGAGUAGUCUGUGUUAUGUAGCUCUGGGACAACGACUGCACCUGCAAAUUCCCCUGGAGUAUAGGUUUGAACUAAAGAUCACAGACAAGACAUCUACCACUCGUUCCAUUUUAAGAUAUAUAAAAACCCAAAGUGACCCACCAAAACCAAAUGACCCAAGAUGGCAGUUUGAUAAAGAUAAAACUAUAAUACUAACCAGUGCAGAGAGGAGCGACUCUGGAACAUACACUUUAGACACCUUUGAUGCAAACGGAAAUAAUAAAGGCAGUUAUACUCUCCAGCUGUACAUUGAAGCUAAGGUGUCCUCAGUGAGCAUCCAGUACAACUGCUUGUUCCCUGAGGUCAGGAAAGUGCACUGUUCUGCUGAUGGAGACAACCUCCAGUUCAGCUGGACUUCUGAAUCAACCAUACGGUUGGAGAAUGAGAACAGCACUCUCGUACUGGAUAAAAAUAAUGAUGGAAAUGUCACCUGCCAUGUCGAAAAUCACGUCAGCCGUGACAACAAUUCCAUUGAACUCCAGUCAUGUCCCAAUUUCACUCUGAUUAUCCUGAGCUUGGUUUGUGUGCUUCUCAUUGUACUAUCGGUCUUAGCGUUCUACAUAUACAAGAGACUAGGCCUAUGGAAAAAAGACCCUUCUCAGGAUGGCAAGGAGCUUGUGUAUGCGGACAUCACCCAUUUACCCACGAACAAGACAGAGACAAGACCAACUACAUCACAAGCUCAGGACAAGGACAUGGAGUAUGCCACGGUGGUCACUCAUCCCAGCCAGAGGAACCAGAAGAAGAACGAGGAAGAGGUGCAGUAUGGCAAGCUGGUGUUUAACACGCCUGACCAAAAAAAGAGCGUGAUGCCCAAAGUGCAAGAAGAGUGUGUGUACUCACAGGUCCAGCAUGGUCAAUAAGGGACACACUCUUAGCCUGUCUCGGUAUGUAUUUUAUUGCAAGAUCAUUCUGGUAGAGGAAGUAGCUGUUGAUGACAUUUCACCCAUACACACUCAUCUCUUACCCAAAAUCAAACCAUUUCACUAUCUGAUUAUCUAAUUACUAAAUCUUUUAGGCUGCAUACAAGCACAGUGGUUAGUGUUUCAUAAAGUGGGUACCAAAAAGGAAUGAAUGAAUUUAUGUAAUUUUCUAUUUAAAUGUAAUGUUUUGCAGUUGCCAUUUUACGUCCAUUCCACUAGGAUGAAAUGAAACCGUGUAUUGAGUGCUGAGUUCCUAGGCUUUUUUCCCCAAAGGCAUUUGUGACUCAGUAUCAUUUCACUAAUGAAGAGAAAAUAAAUGGGAUCUUCCUUCUUGCAGCUUUAAGUGUUGAACUUAAGACACAGCUGUGGCUUCAUGGACAGCUCACACACUGCUCUUUGAGUUGCUCCAUCUUUCAAAACCAACAUUUCUGCUUCUCAGUUUAAAACAAAAUGACACCUUGUCACUGUGGUCAAGUGCUGUACAUAAGAAGUGUGUAAAUUAUUCUACGAGGUUGUUUUCUACCAUUUAAAAAAUGUUACAUGGAUAAAAUGAAUGGUUAAAAUGUCAAAUUGUUCAGUUGUAAAUGGAUUUUCAGCUUAUGAUGUCUAAAACUUUCAGUUUGUGAAAUUGUGUGUGAAAUCAUGCCUUAAGAAUUGACACCUGAUGUUUACUCUCUUGCUAAACACAUGGGCAGAAAAAGCAUCAGCCAAGUCAGAGAUAUUAUUUUUUUAAUUUUAUUUUUAAUUUUUUUUUUAAAGCUAUAAAUGUGUAUAGAUGGAUGUAUUAUAUUUCACAUUGCCUUGGUUGCAUUGUCAAUUUCAAACUUGUAUCUUUGUAUUAUAUUGCAAUAAUUAAUGGAAAACCUAUUCCUGUAACUAUGCAGAGCCUCUGUUAGUACAUUUAUUCUUGAGUAAAGCAGUGUUUUACAGUGUUGCACUGUUACCUUCUCUGGAAAAUGAAAAGAGGAUGGAACGCACUUGCCUGCAUAUGCAAACAUGUUCAUGCAGACCAUUUAUUUGCGUCAUAAUUAUCCCAGCUUGUGUGGUUGGUGGAGAGCAAUUGCAGUGCUUGGUUCUAAAAAUUAAAGAAAUAAGGGUGUUGUCAUCAGGGAGUGUUGGUGUUACUGACACCAAAUAGGGUCAUUUAAAAAAAAAAAAAAAUGAAUAUCACAAUCAUUCUUUAACAGUUGAUUGCUGAUAUUCCUAUCCUUUAAGGUUUUUUUUGCAUUGGAAGUUUAAAAAAAUUACAUAGGAUUAAGAUCAAAUGGGUGGGUAGUAUUAAUAAACUUGAUGAUUACACAAGGUAGUAAGCACUCAGCUUACAAUUUGUGAUAUAAAAGUGUAUAUAUGUGAAGGAGACUAUUUGCUGACACACUUUUCAUAACUUGGUUAAAUAAAUUGUUCCUCUUUUUUUGUUGAACCAAUCUAGAUGAGUUAAUGGCAUAGUUUAAGGUUUUAAAACUGUACUGAAUUUUUACAGAAAAAAUACCUAUGCAUAAAUUGUUUGUUCUUAAUUCCCAGAAUGCCUCUACUGACUCUAUUAUUCAUGUUUAUUUAUCAACGGCAUUUAUACAAUGAUAUUUAAGAUUUGCUGGCAACUUUUGCAUGGCAGUAAUGAGUAUGAGAGUGCUGAAAAGCUGCCUGAAGUUCUUGUGAUAGCCAUGUUCCAUGUCCAAUCAGCAAUGGGCAUAUGUUGUUCAAUAAGGACCUCCCAUUUCUGUUGAUGUGUUAAUAAUUGGCAGCUGUGGUGUCCUCAGUGAAAGUGUGGUACUGCUGCUUGUUCCCUGAAAUCAGAAAAGUGUACUGUUUUGCUGAUGGAGACAACCCACAAAUACCAGAAACCAGAUGACACUAAACAAUGGGCAAAGGAACUAAAAGCUUCAGACGCUGGUGAUGACACAUCUUCUGUCAUAUUUGUCCUUCAUGAUAGGCUGAUAGCUGUUUCAAUGAUGCUCUGAGCACUUCUGACCACCCACUUCUCCAAGGAUGUAGAUUGAUCUUCCUCAGAAUGUUGAUGGUGAUGGGCCUUCUUGAUGAGGGGCGAGGUGUGGAGGACUCAACAGAAGUCUUGUGUUAAGACUUGAAGCUGUUGACUCUACAGCAGUUCCAUUAAUGGAGAUGGGUCUGUGGGUCACACUCAGUUUCCUGAAGUCAACGAUCUGCUCCUGGGUCUUGCUGAUGUUGGUGCACAGGUUGUUUCUAGGUCACUAGCAGUUCCACCUUCUCCCUGUAGGCUGUCUCAUCAUUGAUGUUUAUUUAAUGAUGGAGUUUGUGUUAUGCCUAAGGUAGGGUGACCAUACUGUACGUCCUCUUUUCCCUGGACAUGUCCUCUAUUUCGCACAUUAAAAAAGCAUCCAGACAAAAAUAGCGGGAAAAAUAGCCUCUUAGAUAAUCGGUAUUGGCCAAUACAUCGGUGCAUCUCUAAUAUAUCUAGUAAUAAUAUAUAUGUGAUGAAAAGUUUUCAUUCACAGUAACAUUGUUUUGAACAUGCAUCAGACACCAUGGUCCUAUACCACGGUCCAGCUUUCGUGACUGUGAUGAGAUCAAAAUGACUUGGUUGUUGUGUGAUAUUUAUAGACCAUGAACGUAUUUGUGAGAAAAAUAUUUCGUCCAUACCAUACCACACCAUCACCACCACCAUACCACAGGAGUGCUGAAUGCACAAGCAAUGAGUUCUCACUUACAAUUCAAGGAAACUAGGCAGUAUAAAUUUAAAUAUUUUACGUUGAUAAAGAAACACAUUUCACUCAGCAACAGAGAGCUGUUUAUUGAUCAGCUCUAUGGAUAAACUAGCAAGACUUUUCUUUAAUAGACCGGCUAAACACCCUCUUUCUUUCUUUCAUUCUUUCUUUCUAUCCAGUAACUUAGAAUACAGGAAGUGAGCGGUUAUAACAGUAACUUUGGAACUUCCUCUACUUCUCAGUAAAGCAUAAUUAGAACUGUAAAAGGAGAUUCAUCUUGCUAUUGUAGUUUCUCAUCACUCACGACUAAGAUCUCUAACAAGUACAGAGAGGACUGUUCUCUGGACAAAAUGAGAAUACAGGUCAUCUUUGGAAUCCUGCUGAUUUUCACAAAAGCUGCCAUGGGUUUGCUGUUUCAGGAUCCUGUUGUCUGUAGAUUUAAUGAGAGUAGUCAGUGUUAUAUAGCUCUGGGACAACGACUGCACCUGCAAAUGCCCCUGGAGGAUAGGUUUGAACUAAAGAUCACAGACAAGACAUCUACCACUCGUUUCAUUUUAAAAUAUAGAAAAACCCAAAGUAACCCACCAAAACCAAAUCUCCCAAGAUGGCAGUUUGUUAAAGAUAAUAAAACUAUGAUACUAACCAGUGCAGAGAGGAACGACUCUGGAACAUACACUUUAGAUAUUUAUGAUGCAAACAGGAAUACUAAAGGCAGUUAUACUUUCCAGGUGAACAUUGCAGCUGAGGUGUCCUCAGUAAAUAUGUGGUACAGCUGCUUGCUCCCUGGAGUCAUGAAAGUGUACUGUUCUGCUGAUGGAGACAACUUCCGCUUCAACUGGACUUCUGAUUUAAACACAUUCCCUCAACUGGAGGACGGGAGCAGCACUGUCGUACUGAAUAAAGACCAUCAUGGAAAUGUCACCUGCCAUGUAGAAAAUCAUGUCAGCCGUGACCACAAUACCACUGAACUCCACCCAUGUCCUGAACCUACUACUGCAGUAAUCAGCUCCACAACUUCUAAUGAUGGUUUGCUGUUUCAGGAUCCUGUUGUCUGUAGAUUUAAUGAGAGUAGUCAGUGUUAUGUAGCUCUGGGACAACGACUGCACCUGCAAAUUCCCCUGGAGGAUGGGAUUGAACUAAAGAUCACAGACAAGACAUCUACCACUCAUUUAAUUUUAAAAUAUAGAAAAACCCAAAGUAACCCACCAAAACCAAAUCACCCAAGAUGGCAGUUUGUUAAAGAUAAUAAAACUAUGAUACUAACCAGUGCAGAGAGGAACGACUCUGGAACAUACACUUUAGACACCUUUGAUGCAAACGGGAAUAAUAAAGGCAUUUAUAGUCUCCAGCUGUACAUUGAAGCUGAGGUGUCCUCAGUGAAUAUGUGGUACAGCUGCUUGUCCCCUGGAGUCAUGAAAGUUUACUGUUCUGCUGAUGGAGACAACCUCCGCUUCAACUGGACUUCUGAUUUAAACACAUUCCCUCAACUGGAGAACGGGAGCAGCACUGUCGUACUGAAUAAAGACCAUCAUGGAAAUGUCACCUGCCAUGUAGAAAAUCACGUCAGCCGUGACCACAAUACCACUGAACUCCACCCAUGUCCUGAACCUACUACUGCAGUAAUCAGCUCCACAACUUCUAAUGAUGGUUUGCUGUUUCAGGAUCCUGUUGUCUGUAGAUUUAAUGAGAGUAGUCAGUGUUAUGUAGCUCUGGGACAACGACUGCACCUGCAAAUUCCCCUGGAGGAUGUGUUUGAACUAAAGAUCACAGACAAGACAUCUACCACUCGUUCAAUUUUAAAAUAUAGAAAAACUAAACGUAACCCACCAAAACCAAAUCUCCCAAGAUGGCAGUUUAUUAAAGAUAAUAAAACUAUGAUACUAACCAGUGCAGAGAGCAGCGACUCUGGAACAUACACUUUAGAAACCUUUGAUGCAAACGGAAAUAAUAAAGGCAUUUAUACUCUCCAGCUGAACACUGAAGCUAAGGUGUCCUCAGUAAAAUUAUCGUACAGUUGCAUGUUCCUUGGAGUCAGGAAGGUGCAGUGUUCUGCUGAUGGAGAAAACCUCUACUUCAGCUGGACUUCUGAAAUAACCACUCGGUUAGAGAAUGGGAACAGCACUCUCCUACUGGAUAAAAACUGUAAUGUAAACAUUACCUGCCAUGUUGAAAAUCACGUCAGCCAUAUCCACAGAUCCAUUGAACUCCACUCAUGUUCUGGUUUUAUGGUGGUGUUUUUGUCUGUGUGGAUCUUUCAAGUCAUCAUCCUGCUGUCUCUGUUAGUGGGAGCGUACAUCUACCCCAGAAUCUACAGGAAACAGAGGACACCUGAGAUUCAGGAAGCUCUGUAAACCUGGAUUAGGAACAGAAGAAGCAGAUCUCCUCUAUGCAACCAUCAAUAACAGAUGGCUAACAGAGAACAUAAAUUUAAUUCCUCAAUCCACAAAAAAAUUCAAAUAAAUCAGACUCAAGAUUCCUGUAGAUUCGUUGAGGCACCGAGUGCUAAUUUUCAGUUGUUUCUGGUAUUCUUUCUUUUUUAAUAUUUUAAAAAUAAUGCAAUGCUUUGAUACAGUUGUUACAAACAUGCCAACAAUGCUUUUGUGGGAAUGAUUUUAAUAAAGUUUUUGAAAUGUAAAUGUAGGUAUAUGUACUGUACGUGUGAAUGCUGAAAUAAAGUCUUUUUUUUUUUUUUUAACUGACACACCUAAACUCACUGUUCUUGAUGUAUGAUGUAACUUUUGAGUUCUAAAUUCAAC
Molecule: long non-coding RNA, 6701 nt
Organism: Ictalurus punctatus (channel catfish)
Lineage: Eukaryota; Metazoa; Chordata; Actinopteri; Siluriformes; Ictaluridae
Source: Ensembl